CCUACGGGAGGCAGCAGUGGGGAAUCUUGCACAAUGGGGGAAACCCUGAUGCAGCGACGCCGCUUGAGUGAAGCAGUAUUUCGGUACGUAAAGCUCUAUCAGCCGGGAAGAAAAUGACGGUACCUGACUAAGAAGCCCCGGCUAACUACGUGCCAGCAGCCGCGGUCAUACGUAGGGGGCAAGCGUUAUCCGGAUUUACUGGGUGUAAAGGGAGCGUAGACGGCAGCGCAAGUCUGGAGUGAAAUCCCAGGGCUUAACCAUGGAACUGCUUUGGAAACUGUGCAGCUGGAGUGCAGGAGAGGUAAGCGGAAUUCAUAGUGUAGCGGUGAAAUGCGUAGAUAUUAGGAGGAACACCAGUGGCGAAGGCGGCUUACUGGACUGUAACUGACGUUGAGGCUCGAAAGCGUGGGGAGCAAACAGGAUUAGAUACCCGAGUAGUC
RNAcentral lists this ribosomal RNA (440 nucleotides) under uncultured bacterium. Its description in RNAcentral is "partial 16S ribosomal RNA". It matches the Rfam family "Bacterial small subunit ribosomal RNA", at positions 338 to 795 of the family's 1533-position model. The record is from RNAcentral.